GUACCCAAUCUCUCUCUCUCUAUAUAUAUAUAUAAAGUUGAGAAUUGGCCAGCUGUUGUGGCAUCCCUCUAUAGCCAGCUUUCAUAUUUAUCUUUUUUUCUGAUUUUUUUGAAUUGUUUCUGUUAUUUCACUCCAAUUCAUUUAUUUUUAUUAGCCCACUACUCAAAAUAAUAAAUACUACUUAAUGACCCAAAACAUUAAGCCCGAUAGCCGUUUAGUUUUGUCCUUUGACUAUAAAACUCCACAUAGCCGUUUUGUUUUCUUUAACACACCCCACGUUCUGAGCGAGUCUUCUCUCAAAUCCCAAGGUAAAAUUCCCGACCUUUCUUCGGUUCAUAACAUGGGAUAGCCGUUUGAUUUUUCCAACUAUCUUCUCCUAAUAAUUCUCCAUUCAUCCUCAGACCCUCCAAAGCAUACAACUAUACAAGCAUACUACCAAUGACCUGUCAGUAACACCAUUUCAAGCGAGCGUGCUGACGAGUGACUUUCGAUUUUCAUAAUGGUUCAAACAAUGUCAACAAAUUAGGUUCGUUUAUAUUUUGCCCUUUACUGCAAUAUGAAUGUGUUUUAUGAGUACUGUUAUGGUUCUAAUGCAAUGAACGAUACUUGAAAUUCUAUCUUUGGAUAUGAUUUUGUACGUUUUUUAUUUUCUCUGGUGUGCAUGUAUGGUGGCGCUCCACUGUUUUCUUUUUCUCUUUGCUGAUGUCUUUUCUAUUUAUAGGGAAAGUGAUUGAUGUACUGAAAUGGGAGGAAGAGCUAAUCAAGGAAAAUGUAUUUCCUGGGAAUGUCAAAUUUUUAGAGGACAAGUAUGAUAAUAUGCAGAAAAAAUUAGAGGAGUAAGAAUGGAGAUAUGAAUAGUAUGAAGAAGAGUGUAAUUUGAAAAGGAGAGUAAUCUUCUAUUUUUUUCCUUUUGUAUUUGCUGAAAAUAUUGUUGAAGCUAUUAAAAAUUAUGUAUUGAAUAGGGGAGAAAAUAAAGAGAAAAAUGUAAGAAGAUUUCUAAUGAUAGGCGAAGGGAAUGGACUUGAUUGCCAUUUUAUAUCUCUUCUUGAUUUUGGUUCUUCAAGUGGCAACAGUUCGAGCAAAAUGAUCAGGUAGCCCAUUUUUCUUUUUCUUCCUGUAGUUUAAUUUCUUGGCUUACCAACUAUAGAUUUGUUGCUUAAUCUUGGUUUGUACUGAAUUCAUAGCAGUGGCCAAGGUUUUUACUUUUUAAUCCUUAAAAAUUCAAGAAGGAAGGUUUAAAAAUUGGGAGUGCGUAUUUUUUGUGCAGUUAUCUAUGAAUUAUUAGCGUAAUUUGACUUUGACUUAUCAUUAAAUGUGUACUGUGCAUGUCUUUGUUAUCGGAAGUCCACAAUUCUUUAGUUGGAUUGCCACCAUUUGUUGUUUUAGUCUUUACUUGGUCGUAUUCAAGUGCAAUGAGAAGGUUCAACACUUCAGCUUAAUCAAUGUUAGAAGGAAAAAAAGACAGGUGGGCACAUCACAAAUUGCAUAAAAAAGGUAUGGUGGUGUCAAAACAUUUAUAAUGAUCAUUUUCUUAAGACUCAAACUUUUCUACACAAUAUAGUUUACCGACUAAAAAGAGUUCCUUAAAGUAGAGCAUUCUACUGUGACAGUAUAAAAAGGCCAAUAGUUCAACAAAGAAGCAAACAAGGACAAUUUACUCUAAUUAAUUAGUGUAAAAAAUAUGGGUAUAUAACCCUUUAUACUUUAAUUAUAAUUAAAUGACAUAUUCUUUUACUUUAAUUCUUUUUUCUACUCUUUGUUCUUGCAUUCCUAAAUAUACAAUUGAAAAUGAAAUUCCAUUGCAGAUAGUUAACUUUUUGGGAAUUUUUUAGAAAGUUUUCGCUCUAAAGGUUUUCUCCCUUCCAUCUUUAGUAUUUUUCUAUUGGUUCAUUAUUUUUUUUUCCUGAAUUUGAAUUUCUUUUUACUUAGAAUGUGCGAUGGUGAGAUCGAUCUCUGCUCCCUAUUACUUAUAUCAUACCUGUAAUAUUCAAAGUGUGAGGAAGAUAAUAAUGGAGUUGAAUGUGAUCUUUUGGAUAUCCCAUUGGCUCUUUGUUAUGUCUUUGUCGUUUCAUGGCUUUGGCUUUAAUUAUUUUCUUCUUCUUUUGUGUUAGUACUAUAGCUAAUGACAAGAAGAUUUAGGAACUUUCUUUCUUCUAUGCUAAUCUACCAUUAAGAAAUUCUUUUGGUGUUACGUUGAUUAUCAUUUGAAAAAUUAUACUCCACUCUUUUAUCCUAGAAAAUUGGUAUAAGUGUACGCAUAUUGCAUACUUUGUAGAGUAUAAUAAAAAACAGUGGUGCCUUCUAAACUCCCCCACUUGACCGUGUAAAGACCAUAAGUGCAACGAGGUUGGAUGUUAAUAUGAAUAAAAUAGUCAUAAUACAAAAAAUAGAAAUAAAGGCAGCAACACGGAUCGGUCCAGCAUAAUAUACUGGAAAUUGGUGCACCUGUGUAUGAACUUUCAGCAUAUUAUGCCGGAACUCCAACACGCGGAAAGUUCCAGCAUAAUAUACUGGAGAUUGGAGUACAUGUGUAUGAACUUGCAGCAUAUUAUGUUGGACCGGUAUAUUAUACUGGAACUCCAGUAUAUUAUGCUGGAAUAUUUUUCGGAUUUUGAACAGUGUUUUCGUUCAGAUUUAUCUUUACAUGAAAAGUGACUAAAUUUCGAUUACUUUUGAAAUUGUGGCUAUUUUUCAAUUACUACUUAUAAAUCUAGCUAUUUUUGAAUUUCUCCCUAGUUCUUGUUGGCAACAUUUGUUGAUCACUGUUUCCUAUGGGCCUUCUCAGUCCAAGUCCUCAGAAGACAGGACCCAUUUUUGGCACUUUAGGCCCAAGUUUGGACAUUAUUGAAAGGGAAAAUGACAUUGUAUAACCGCUUUAAAAAUAAUAGUCAAAAAAUAUUUAUUUAUUUUUUUGGUAUAUUUUGUGUAUAUACACACGCAUUAUGUAUGUUAUAUACAAAAAUUAUAUAAAUUUUAUACACUUUUUUGAGCUACCGAAUAUAAAUAAUUUCUAACACGAGCUAAAAGUGAAAAAAGCCCUUAUUGAAAACAUUACGCCACUCGAGCUGGCUGACAAUUACCAUAUUUUAACUCUAUGUUAAGGAAAGCUAGUUUAGAAAACCAAAUAAUAUUAAAGAAAGUAAAAUGGUCUUAGCUACAUAUAAUUUGUUUUUGAAAUGUAUUAAAACCUUUUCAGUUAAAGGAAAAAUAAGCCUUUGAUCUCCAAAAAGAUAAUAUAUGAACUUUCUCAAAUAAUAUGCUAUACCCAAUAAAAGAACAACAAAAAAAGAGAUGUAGACAUGGUCAAAUACUGGAAACUACUUGGUCUCCAAGUCCUAUUCUCUUAACUCCAAUUGGUCAGACUUGACUUGACUUUCCAUUCUUCUCCUAACUCUAACGCCCCAAUGAUGAAGACAUACUCCAUGCUCCCUUGCUCCCCAAGCAGCCAAGAAACUAUAAAUACCAUAUAAUUAAAAAAAGCAAUUGCAUAUAUUUGACAAUUUAAUAAACUAAAGAAGAGCUUAUUUUCUUUACUUAAUUCUUGAAGAAGAAGAGACAUGGCACAAGUUGGACCCUAUAUUGCUGAAAUUCAUGUAAUGCGGAAGCUCCACAAGGAGAAAAUGAAGGUGACAG
RNAcentral lists this long non-coding RNA (3633 nucleotides) under Nicotiana tabacum (common tobacco). Its description in RNAcentral is "long non-coding RNA (NTAB_LNC010633)". Lineage: Eukaryota; Viridiplantae; Streptophyta; Magnoliopsida; Solanales; Solanaceae. The record is from RNAcentral.